GUCGGUGACCUUACGUAGGAGGAAACACCUGAUCCCAUCCCGAACUCAGAAGUGAAGAUCCUGCGGCCAAUGAUACUGCACUGCGGGAAAGUAGGUGAUCGCCGACU
Molecule: ribosomal RNA, 107 nt
Filed under: Phycisphaerales bacterium
Lineage: Bacteria; Pseudomonadati; Planctomycetota; Phycisphaerae; Phycisphaerales
Source: RNAcentral